Rhopilema esculentum is the source of this 2952-nucleotide non-coding RNA. NCBI's taxonomy places the organism in Eukaryota, Metazoa, Cnidaria, Scyphozoa, Rhizostomeae, Rhizostomatidae. The record is from RefSeq and is a predicted model, not a curated record.
UUCCAUCACAGAACGUACGUCACUAGAAACAAUAAGUCACUAGAAACAACAUUCUGUUUCAAUGGAUUGUCUCUUGGGUUGGAUGACGAGAAAGAACUUACCAUUAGAAGGAUUAUAUAAGAUAAUUUCAUCUUGUAUCAGACGCAAUGAUUCUUAAUGAUUUCGUGUGAUUCAUUGAUUCCUUGUAACUCGUUGAUCCCUUGUGAUUCAUUGAUUCAACUUACCUUUUUUUGCCAUUUGGCGAUAUUAAAUGAUACUGCAUCUUUACGCCUGCCCCUUUAUUAUAUGCAUUCUGUUUAAAGCUCAAACAAAGACGCAAUGUAUUUAUGAAUGCAAAACCAACAGCUACAAGUAUGCGUUCGUCGAUCAGAAUCACUUUGGCUGUUAUUGCGGGAAUAUCGAGCCAUCCCGGAAGGGUUUCGACAUGGUGCACCCGAGGUUUUGUUCUAGUCCACCGCUCUACAGGCAUUGCACUGUUGGAAUUUGCCUCAGAGGGGGAUUUGGCAAGCUGUAUUUAACUGUGCCUGAUGCCUUCAACACAACGACCCCAGCCAAAAAAGUUUCUUCUGGAAACCUUUCAGCGGAACUUAUCGGCUCUUCCUUUGGCAUAAUGGCCUUUCUGGUCCUUACGUUUAUUUUCAUAAGAUACAGGAUAAAGAAGAGACAGAGAGCUGAACGUUCUAAUCGUGGAGCAAAUCAAUAUUUGCCAGUCCAAACUCCUGAUGUUUGUUACGCGCCUGACUCUGCUCUUGGAGAUGCAUCACCUUCAUAUUCAGAUGCCACAAAAGAAGGGGUCGUUUUCAUGGACUCAAGGAACGCUGUUGGUGCGUUUUAAUUGACAAAUGACCCUCCACUUUCAUUUGAAGAAGCAAUUAAUGGUGCUGCCAAUGCUGGAGCUCUUCCACCGAAAUAUGACACUAUUCAAUUCAGGGACGAAAACAAGUUGCUAAUUUUGGGGGGGCGUGGAAGUAUGAAAAUUCCAACUUCAAGUGAUAAAUUUUUCAUUCGACCAGUAGAUCUGUUGUACCUACCAAAUUGAUAUUUGUAAAUAGCCCGAGGACCAUAGUUCUAUUUUCUUUAUAAUUACCAAAUCUUUACUCAAUAAUUAGCCUAAAGCAUAAAAGCCUAAAUCUCUAAAUUUUGAUUAACAUGAAACAAACAUUAAACAUACUGUAAGAAGUAAAGCAACAUUUAAGCAAAACCAGUAUUAGAUAUACUUAAUGAUUAGUAGUAUUCUUUCAGAUCAAUUGAUCAAUUUUAUCUAAAAUACAUUUUUCACGAUAUAGAAGCACCAAGAAUUUGGGCCUUUUAUUUUCGUUCUUGAUCGAAGAAAACUACCUUUAAACUUUUCAGAGGGCCAAAUGCCUUUUCAUUCUUUACAAUUGAAAUGAUGAUUUGAGAACAAACUUGUGCAUAUGCCUGAUUCGAAAGAUGAAAUACUCUUCUUUGAUCAAAUACUUCUACUGCAGUUUUUGCAAUGUGUUCUUGCUCCACAGCAGUUUUGUCAUAGGAAUUUAUGAUAAGGACUCAAGGACAUUAACAAAUAACAGGGGGAGUUUAGCAUAAACUCGUUUUUUAUAAGAAGCGUUGAGAAUUUUUAGUACUGAAAGAUUAUUAAUCUUUUAUUGAAUUAACUACUCGUAGUUUCUUAAAAAACUCCCACUCUAAUGCUUUCUGAUCAAUACGGGAAUUAUUAUUCCAAACUAUAAAGUUUCAAGUUUCUUAUCCGGAAAUUCACCUUGCCUGUUCGUAAUUUGAUUCAACUCCCGUCAGAAAGAAAGCAAACGGGGCAAUUGUGCAACUUGGAUCCAGUGGAGACGGGAUUCACAAUAGAAAACGAUUGGAUGGGUCAGCUUCAGCCUGUGAAUUUUAAUGUUUAGAAUUUUUAUAUUUAAAAUAAAAAAACUUCUUAAAAUAUAAAAUUCACAAGUUUGGUCUUAAGAAAAAAAUUCCAAGUCAACCGUUACAUUUUCCAACUGUAACUGGAUUUUCCAAACUUUGGGGGGCGUUACGCCCCCCACGCCCCCCUAUUAUUUACGUGCCUGUCAGUAUUCUUCCCCUUUGUCAGUGGAAACGCCAUCAGGGGCUGAAGCUCAUCGAAACCAAACCCCGUUAUUAACGAGUCUUAGUCAGCUCUCGAGUCCCAGAGUGGUAUUACCGGCUGUCGACGAUGGCGAUUCAAGACCAGGCUCCGCAGCCCUGAUAAGAUCUCGACCAGCAUCCGCAGCCUCGGUUGACUCUGUCUCCGAUUCAUUGCACCCUUUGGUAUGACCCACAACGAGGCACCAAAGAAACCCCAAUAGAAUGCUCCCGCCACUGCAAGUUCGAGUCAGAGCUACAGACAAUCGAAAUCCUGGCAGUGACGUAUGAAACCUUGUAUAGCUAACAUGCAAACAUUGUAAAUACAACGUAUAUCUGUAGAUCCGCACAUGUCAAAUUAGAGGAACAAGGAAAUCAGAGCACCAUUACCGCCGGACCAAUCAAGAACUUUCCUGGGGUCUGGGACCCUUGAUAAAGUCAUUGUUGUUUUGUCAGAAGCUUUGUUACAUCUUGGUCGGGCCCCUCUGAGCUAAGGGCACGGGGAAAUCUGCCUUCCCUACCUCGCCUGCUUUCCUUGUGCCCCUGCCAAUUAUUGAGAGAACAUGUGAUUUGUGUUGGGGCAAUGAGCUUUGCGGCAUAUACAUUUACCAAAAAUAUGUCGCUUUCCUUCCACUUGGAGAAGGUGAUUUUUUUAAAUCUGGCUUCAAUUUUAAUUUGUGAUUUUAUGCAUUUAGUAUCGUGAUUAUAUGCAUAAAGUAUAAAGUAUUUGAUAUCAGCUCUCGGAGUGGUCUGUAGCAUGUAUAAAUCAUCGUCGUAUCCAAUACGUAUUGAUUGUGAUUUUCAGAUUUACUAAUCAGUCUGUAGAUUAUUAGGAUCUUCCGUAAUAUCAAAAGUCCGCAUCGUGCUUUUGUA